This 4233-nucleotide long non-coding RNA is filed under the name Sus scrofa (pig). RNAcentral's name for it is "lncRNA (ENSSSCG00040041746.1)". The record is from RNAcentral. Lineage: Eukaryota; Metazoa; Chordata; Mammalia; Artiodactyla; Suidae.
UUUUUCCAGUGCGCAGUUUCAAAAUGUUCCUUUAGUUCUUGAGAUACAUUCCCCUGGAAGGCUUUUUAUUUACCAGAAAUUUUGACCUUCAAAAAUAAAAAUAUUAGGUUUUUAAAAACAUAGAUAGUAAAAUAGUAGGCUUGAAAAAAUAUAUGUAAGCCAGUUGCAAAAGACCAACAAAUGAGCAGUUUUUUACUUAUUUUUGCAGGGUUGGAAGUAUCAGUAUUUUCCUAUGAACACAAACAGCACCAUUUUUAAUGUGUCUGUACCUUGAAGUACUGAGCUCACCAUUUGUUAGGUCUCUUGGGUGACUUGUGACCAGCUUAGGCAUAAAGAAGAAUUAAUUGGCUCAGGAUGUUGCGAAGUUGGCUGGUAGGACCUGCUUCAGGGGCCUCUGGAAUGAGGGGUUCAGAUCAUAGCGUUAUGUCUUGGUCUCAGUCUGUUGGCUGUGCUGUGUUCUGUGUUACACUCAUUUAUGUAGCCAUUUACCAGUUGUGCUGUGAUAAUCAUUCAUUACUCUGUUUUUGUAGCAAUAGCAGAAAGCUAUGUUUAAGUUCUAGCAGCUCGCAUAGAAUUUGAAUCUUCCUGGUCUGUGAUUGGUCCCUUGUGUAUCAUAUGCCUAUCACUGAAACAGUGUCUGGGGCUGCAGCCGGGCUGGGUAAUGGGAGGUAUGAAGGUGUGCUUAGCCUGGAGUGGGUCACAUGCUCCUCUCAAGAAUGGUAAAUGGUUUUUGACCUGCUCAAGGCAGUGGAAAGUGAGUGAAAGGGGUGCUGGUUUCAGAAGACGCGGACAGCAUUCUAGGAAAGUACUGUGUGCAUAUACAUCCUGUAAGGCACUCUACUUGAUGCACAGCAAAGAUAAAGGAUUACAGGGUUGGAAGGAAUCUUUAAAUAUCAUAUAGCCCAGCUACCCAUGAUUGAGUAUCAUCUGAGAUGUUCCCCAUGAAGGUGUCUGCCAAGUACAUGGGCAUCUCCAGUGACACUGACUAUGAGGAAGUGGGUUGUGCCUCAAAAACACCACCAUGCCUCUGUCCUCAAGGAGCUGAAGUUCAUUCAUGGCUGGGCUCCUUCUGUCUGUCCUUCUGUCCGACCAUCCAUCUAUUGUCUGUCACUAUUGUGGGUCCUAAAACAAGGUCCUAGAUUGCCAUAUACACAUACUAUAAGGUAGACAGGGAGAUUAUAAUGAAGUGGUAGAGAAGCUACAGGAAUACUGGUGGAUGAGGAGGCUGAGGAGGGGAUGCUGGAGGAGGAAGAGGAGAAACCUCACAGAAGCUGUGAGAUCUGGCUGGGACCCAGAGGAUGAAUAGGAGUUCAAAUAGCCAAGGCGAAAGUGAUCCACUUGAUGGAUUUAUUGUCUUUUCUGGAAUCAAACUGUACAUUUGGAGUUUGAUUUGAAUUACUUAGGGAAAAUGGCUUAUAAUGUGUCUUUGCCCAGUUAAAAUACACCUGUCUUUUAGGACAUAUCAGUGAUGUUAGUGAUGGGAACAGUAAGCUGCUCAUGAAAGAUUUUUAGACAGACUGGCCGCAUGGUAUCUUUCAAGUUACCCCAGUUUCCCUUUCCUACCAAGUCCAUAGGAGGUGAAUAUAUGAAGCUCCCAUAGGUGAAAUUUUGGUAAGUUAUAUUAUAGAAUUUUUAAUAACACUUCCCUGAAAAAUUUGGAAGGAUAGGCUAUUGUUUGUUAAUUCAUAUAUUCUUGUGGGCAAAAGUAUUCUGAACUUCACUUUUCAAACCUGAUACCUGAGAAUAGAAACGGGCCUUCCCAAAGGUUAGGGUUCAUGUGGAGAAUAAACAUAUUGAUCCUUAGAUCCAUAUGAAACAUUGAUUAUGAUGCUGGCACCUAGGAAGCACUUAAUAGAUGUUACUUAUUAACAGAGGGUGUUCCAUGCUUUUUACCUCAUAGAUUGUUGAAGGCUUACAAAAGUAAUUGUAUCACUGAUGAAUAACUAAUUGAUUUUAAAAUGUUUUUCCAUAUACUUUGAAUGUAAUAUACUGUUUUAUUUUCACAUGUUACUUCUAUUACAAAAAGGACAUUAAAGAUGGUAGGUUUUAGCAAGGAACUUUAACUCCACAUGCUUUUAAUGCUUCCCUGAAUUAAUAAUUUUCAUGUCCAUCAUAUUUUCUCCUUGGCCCACAAUUCCUCCCAUAUUUGGAUCUUGGCAAAUGAUGACUUGGUUAAUUAGGCAGUCUGUUAACUCUGAUUACUAAGUUAUAACAGAUCAGUGUCGAAGCAUCACUAUGCAAUUUGGAUUAAAAGGCUCUUCAUUUUAUCAAAACACAUUUACAUUUAGUGAUAAGUGUGUUGAAAUGCAUUAGGUUAAAAUGAUGCAUUUCACAAGGAAAAAUUUUAAAAGGAUAAAGAAUUAUUUCCCCCUAAGUUUAUUUUUUUAUUGUGACAUUCAUCACAUUAUCUUUCACUAGGAAUAGACUUAAAAGCUUGGAAUUUUCUUUUAAAGCUUGAAAAUUAUAGCUGAUUCAAUGCCUUUAUUGUACAAAUAUGAUGGAUGCAUUGCAUUUUUAUUUGAGCAUAAUUUAGUGUAGCGACACAUGGUUAUAUUCCAAUUCUGACCACAGUGACCUUUGAUACUGGACUUACUUGUAGAAAUGAGUCUUGACUGUGUUGGGGGCUGGAAUUAGUGGGUUGCAUUAAGGCUCACUCUCUUUUACAGCUGAUGGCACUGACAGUUAUUAAAUAAGAUUGGGCCUUUCUAGUCCUUUCUCUUUCUUGUUUAAUGGUUCAUCAUCACUUAAGGGCAGUUGAAGUAUCACAACCUUGCUUGCUUACUGCAUCUCUGUCUCUGCUUUCCUCCUUUCCUUUCAUAGCACAUAACACUUAGCCUUGUGGAAAAUGAACACACAACUAAACACAAGAAUAAUUUUCCAGAUGCCAUGAACCCUGAAAUUUGUGUUAAUUUCCCCUCAAAAUUCUAUCAGGUGUCAGUAGCAUUUAUACCCACAAGGGCAUACGUGAGUGCUCGAACACACACACAAACACACGCAGUGAACUCAGCAACUGGCAACCAGGAGAUGUUGAACAGGUAUUUGUUGAAGAAUUACCGGUGAAAAAGUUGAAACCCUGACAGCUUUCCACCCCCAGGCUCCCAGACUGGUCCUAGAGAUGAUCCAACAGCGGGAAUCCUAUCUGAUAUUGCAACCGUUAGAGUAAGUGGAACUGAUGGAAUUAAUAUUUCUUUUUUCAAUAAACUUACUGAAGUCUGAUCUUUAUGAAUUUCUGUGUUCUAGUUUCAUGGGAAAUAGAGAAAGCCAAAGUGAGAAACUAUUUCUUAUGUUCACUGAACUUAGUAUCUUGUUGAUGGGUUGCAUUGAGGUGACCACAGGUCAGAAGUGGGAAAUCUUAAUUCUUCAACUUGAUUCAGUGAUAGCAUCUAGUUUGUGUGAAACGACUUUUUAAGAAGCCUCAAAGACCCUUCUGACUUUGUAGAUAGAGCAGAACUUUGCUUAACUCAGAAUGGAAGUUGGAUUUUUAUGAAUUUGAUUAUUUUCUCUUAAUUGGGAACAUUGAGUAGUAAUUAUAGGUGACGCUCAUUUUGGAGGGGCUUGUGGCUGGUUGUUCAAAGGUAAAGUGAUGUUUUGAGCUUGAAUUUGACAGAUUUGAAUGACAGUCAGCCUGAAUAAUUCAGUUUCCCUACCUUCCCAGUCUUCCCAAAAGAACGAACCAAAUAAGGAAUUUUAAAAAACCCAAACCAUUCUGGAUUAUAUGAAUACUUAGCCAUUUUCAAAAGAGGUAGUUUGACAGAGAGACAUUCUCUGGGACUUUUAUGUGUGAGGUAAAUGCAUUAGAACAUUCAUCUCUCUCUCUCUCUUUCUUUCUCUCUCUUUUUAAUGGUGUUCAGUUACCUGAACAACACGUGUAUUAUGAUAAAGAAAUUUCCCAUAGAGUAAGAGAACCCUCUGGAGAAGAGCUGCCUAAGGAAUGAGUUAAAAAGUGAGGUCCAUUGGAUUUUCAAGUGUCCCUUGGGACAGAGCAUUCUUAGUCCCCAUCAGUGGUCCCCAAGAAGUCUUAAUGGCAACGUCAGAAAAUUUUCUCCAUUAAGCGCUGUGGGUAGAAGCAAGCAGCCUUAUUGGAAGGUUGGAUACUAUGACUGUGUGGUUGUAUUAAUUGCAUUUAUUCCUUUAAAAUGACCCUGGAUGAAAACAACCACCCCUUCUGUGGUCAUGGUUAGCAGAUGUUUACCGUAAUUCUUUGCUCAGUUUAAAAAAAAAAAAAAAAAAAAA